GAUGAACGCUGGCGGCGUGCUUAACACAUGCCAGUCGAACGAAGCACUUUAACCUGAUUCUUCGGAUGAAGGUUUUUGUGACUGAGUGGCGGACGGGUGAGUAACGCGUGGGUAACCUGCCUCAUACAGGGGGAUAACAGUUAGAAAUGACUGCUAAUACCGCAUAAGACCACAGAGCCGCAUGGCUCGGUGGGAAAAACUCCGGUGGUAUGAGAUGGACCCGCGUCUGAUUAGGUAGUUGGUGGGGUAACGGCCUACCAAGCCAACGAUCAGUAGCCGACCUGAGAGGGUGGCCGGCCACAUUGGGACUGAGACACGGCCCAAACUCCUACGGGAGGCAGCAGUGGGGAAUAUUGCACAAUGGGGGAAACGCUGAUGCAGCGACGCCGCGUGAGCGAAGAAGUAUUGCGGUAUGUAAAGCUCUAUCAGCAGGGAAGAAAAUGACGGUACCUGACUAAGAAGCACCGGCUAAAUACGUG
RNAcentral lists this ribosomal RNA (479 nucleotides) under uncultured bacterium. RNAcentral describes it as "partial 16S ribosomal RNA". It matches the Rfam family "Bacterial small subunit ribosomal RNA", at positions 28 to 507 of the family's 1533-position model. The record is from RNAcentral.